GUGCUCCCUUGGGCAGCACACAUACUAAAAUUGGAUCAAUACAGAGAAGAUCAUCGUGGCUCCUGGGCAAGGAUGACACACAAAUUUGUGAAGUGUUCCAUUUUAAA
This is a small nuclear RNA of Cynocephalus volans (Philippine flying lemur), 107 nucleotides long. The record is from RefSeq and is a predicted model, not a curated record. NCBI's taxonomy places the organism in Eukaryota, Metazoa, Chordata, Mammalia, Dermoptera, Cynocephalidae.